Molecule: ribosomal RNA, 431 nt
Filed under: bacterium
Lineage: Bacteria
Description: bacterial SSU rRNA
Rfam family: Bacterial small subunit ribosomal RNA
Source: RNAcentral
GUGGGGAAUCUUCCGCAAUGGACGAAAGUCUGACGGAGCAACGCCGCGUGAGUGAGGAAGGCCUUCGGGUUGUAAAACUCUGUCUUCAAGGAAGAAUGUUAUUAUUGAGAAUAUUGAUAGUAAAUGACGGUACUUGAGGAGGAAGCCACGGCUAACUACGUGCCAGCAGCCGCGGUAAUACGUAGGUGGCAAGCGUUGUCCGGAAUUAUUGGGCGUAAAGAGCGUGUAGGCGGGUAUUUAAGUCAGAUGUGAAAACUUGGGGCUCAACCGCAAGAUUGCAUUUGAAACUGGAUACCUUGAGGGUAAGAGAGGGCAGUGGAAUUCCUAGUGUAGCGGUGAAAUGCGUAGAUAUUAGGAGGAACACCAGUGGCGAAGGCGACUGCCUGGCUUACAACUGACGCUGAGACGCGAAAGCGUGGGGAGCAAACAGG